AUUUUCCUCUGUUCUUUAUUUUUCCCGUUAUACUCUAUUCUAAUUUUAUAUUUUUUUUUUCUUUAUUUUCCUGUAUCUAUACCUCCUUUAUUCGGAGCAACCCCACCCUAAAUAUACAUAUGAUACACACGGUCUAUAGGUCAUCGCUUGUGCCGUGAUACAUGUUUGCAUAACAAAGGAUGUCCUUGUUCAUAUUUAUAACAUUUUAAAUGUCCUCCUAAUAAUACAUAUAAUAGUUGCCACUGGACAUUAAACAGCUAACUCUAAAUUCAUCCGUCAUAUUCUUAGUUUUGUUAUAAUGUGUAAAUCACACAACAUGAUGAACAAAUAAUUAUUGCAGAUUUUCACUGCCGAAAUAAUGGGAAAUAAUUGUAAACAAAACCACUCAAUCACAUCCCUACGCCACAAAGUCUUUUCACAUGUAAAUAAAUUAUUUUCAUAAAUCUAUUUCAAAAUAAUUUUAAACAAUUUUAAAUCAAACGGUCAUUUUUCUUAUUUGCCAAAAAAAACAACAACAUCAAACAGUUAUUUUCUUUUCUUAUUUUAAACAGAUCGAUUGUUUUCAAUGGUCGGUGCCUGACAGCAUCUAUAAAAUCUAUCACCAUGUUUGCCAAUAAGAAAGCUUCAUAGAACAGGAAAACAACAAUGUCUUAUAGAAAUACUUCCAGGCCAUAUUUUCCAAUUUCUGUUGUAAUGUGGUUUAAUGCAAAAAAGAUCCAGGGACACAGAUGUCAGAAUGAAUAAGAAAACACUAAAUUCUUCAAUAAUAUAUUGUAAAAUGGACAGCAAGCACAUUUGAUAGACUAGUGUACUAAUAGAUUUUCUUGUGUAUUUUCUAUGUUCUGGAAACUUCAACAUCCUAUCAAAAAUACUUAAAUUAAAGUCUUAAGUUUAAUUAAAUGUUUUUUUUUUUAAAUAUUAUUUGCAAGGCUGCAUGAACAUUGCACCUAUCGUUUUCGUAUAUUUCUUUUCCGCCAUGCAUAAGUUUAAUGUUUACUGUGACUUCUAUAAUGCUUAAAAAAUGAUGCAAUUGUAUUAUCAAUCUAAAAAUAUUAAUCGUGAACAACAACAAAAAUAAAUUAUAUAUUAAACGA
Molecule: long non-coding RNA, 1094 nt
Organism: Mytilus californianus (California mussel)
Lineage: Eukaryota; Metazoa; Mollusca; Bivalvia; Mytilida; Mytilidae
Exons: 2
Source: RefSeq, a predicted model, not a curated record